GCACCCGUAGCUCAGCUGGAUAGAGCGUUGCCCUCCGAAGGCAAAGGUCACACGUUCGAAUCGUGUCGGGUGCG
Transfer RNA from Methylobacterium sp. Leaf399, 74 nucleotides. It matches the Rfam family "tRNA". From Rfam's summary of the family: Transfer RNA (tRNA) molecules are approximately 80 nucleotides in length. NCBI's taxonomy places the organism in Bacteria, Pseudomonadati, Pseudomonadota, Alphaproteobacteria, Hyphomicrobiales, Methylobacteriaceae. The record is from Rfam.